CCAUAUGAUCCGUCAAAUGGCAGGCGUAGUGCCUCAAAGUAGUAGUGCUGCUCUUCACCACCUUGUCCAAUGACAACCAAGCGCAAACGAUUUAACGCCGUAACGGGAUUAUUCUCUUUCGGGUCACCCCAAUAGUAUUCGCUUUUGUAGAAAUUCAGCGGGCCCUUCAAGACCAAGGGCAUGCUGAACGACUUGCUCUUAACUGCGUCACGCACCUCGCCGAUAUACGUUCGUGAGGGACCUGGCUGUGUNNNUCAGCACAUCGACGUAAAUGCGGAUUCGGUCGGUCGUCAGCGCAACCACAGCGGAGAGAAUGAGUG
RNAcentral lists this unclassified non-coding RNA (320 nucleotides) under Hevea brasiliensis (rubber tree). The record is from RNAcentral. Lineage: Eukaryota; Viridiplantae; Streptophyta; Magnoliopsida; Malpighiales; Euphorbiaceae.